UGGGGAAUAUUGGACAGUGGGCGCAAGCCUGAUCCAGCCAUGCCGCGUGAGUGAUGAAGGCCCUAGGGUUGUAAAGCUCUUUCACCGGUGAAGAUAAUGACGGUAACCGGAGAAGAAGCCCCGGCUAACUUCGUGCCAGCAGCCGCGGUAAUACGAAGGGGGCUAGCGUUGUUCGGAAUUACUGGGCGUAAAGCGCACGUAGGCGGACAUUUAAGUCAGGGGUGAAAUCCCGGGGCUCAACCCCGGAACUGCCUUUGAUACUGGGUGUCUAGAGUUCGAGAGAGGUGAGUGGAAUUCCGAGUGUAGAGGUGAAAUUCGUAGAUAUUCGGAGGAACACCAGUGGCGAAGGCGGCUCACUGGCUCGAUACUGACGCUGAGGUGCGAAAGCGUGGGGAGCAAAACAGGAUUAGAUACCCCUGGUAGUCCACGCCGUAAACGAUGGAAGCCAGCUGUCGGCAAGUUUACUUGUCGGUGGCGCAGCUAACGCAUUAAGCUUCCCGCCUGGGGAGUACGGUCGCAAGAUUAAAACUCAAAGGAAUUGACGGGGUCAUAGCUGUUUCCUG
Molecule: ribosomal RNA, 563 nt
Filed under: uncultured bacterium
Lineage: Bacteria
Description: partial 16S ribosomal RNA
Rfam family: Bacterial small subunit ribosomal RNA
Source: RNAcentral